This 771-nucleotide ribosomal RNA is filed under the name Triticum aestivum (bread wheat). RNAcentral's name for it is "partial small subunit ribosomal RNA". Lineage: Eukaryota; Viridiplantae; Streptophyta; Magnoliopsida; Poales; Poaceae. The record is from RNAcentral.
AUGUACUACUGCGCCGGCUGCACCGACCCCUCCUGCUCCUCAAUCUCAUCGCUGGACUCGUUUCCAUCCCACGACUUGAGCAGCGAUGAGAUGGCUGAAACAAGGCUGAAGAACUCAGCAGGCUUGGCCGCCGGGGCCGGCGCCGCUCCAGCUUCUUGGAAUCAUUUCCAGGCCGGACGCAUGGGCGCCGCUGCUAAUAGUAAUCCCUCCUCCAGCUCCUCCUCCUCCUUAUCGUCCUGGGACUCGUUUCCCUCCGACAUGAGCAGCGGCGAGACGGUUGGCGCGGAAACGAGUCCUUGGCCCAAGAAGCGAGCAGCGUCAGCUGCGCCGUCGUACAUCGGCGUGCGCGCGCGGCCGUGGGGUCGGUUCGCGGCGGAGAUCCGGGACUCGACGCGGGGCGGCGCGCGGGUCUGGCUGGGCACCUUCGGCACCGCCGAGGCCGCCGCCAUGGCCUACGACCAGGCGGCGCUCUCCUCGCGAGGCACGGCCACCGCACUCAACUUCCCUAUGGAGCGCGUCCAGGAGUCGCUCCAUGCCCUGGGGGCCACGUCCACUGGCAUGGACGGAUCGCCCGUUCUGGCGCUCAAACGGCGCCACUCCAAGAGAAGAAGGCGCAGCAAGGUCGAGAUAGCGAACGACGCGGCGACGGCGAGGAUGAGGAAGAACAAGACGAUGGCCAUGCAGGAGGGUCCCGUCGUGGAGCUGGAGGACCUCGGCGCCGACUACCUGGACGAGCUUCUUAGGAUUACGUGGGGUACAGCUUACCAAUAA